GUGGGGAAUAUUGGGCAAUGGGCGAAAGCCUGACCCAGCAACGCCGCGUGAAGGAAGAAGGUUUUCGGAUCGUAAACUUCUAUCCUUGGUGAAGAUAAUGACGGUAGCCAAGAAGGAAGCCCCGGCUAACUACGUGCCAGCAGCCGCGGUAAUACGCAGGGGGCAAGCGUUGUCCGGAAUGAUUGAGCGUAAAGGGCGCGUAGGCGGCUUGGUAAGUCUGGAGUGAAAGUCCUGCUUUUAAGGUGGGAAUUGCUUUGGAUACUGUCGGGCUGGAGUGCAGGAGAGGUAAGUGGAAUUCCCGGUGUAGCGGUGAAAUGCGUAGAGAUCGGGAGGAACACCAGUGGCGAAGGCGACUUACUGGACUGUAACUGACGCUGAGGCGCGAAAGUGUGGGGAGCAAACAGGAUUAGAUACCCCUGUAGUCC
RNAcentral lists this ribosomal RNA (425 nucleotides) under uncultured bacterium. RNAcentral's name for it is "partial 16S ribosomal RNA". It matches the Rfam family "Bacterial small subunit ribosomal RNA", at positions 354 to 796 of the family's 1533-position model. The record is from RNAcentral.